UGGUGAGUAACACGUAAGCAACCUGCCUAUCAGAGGGGAACAACAGUUAGAAAUGACUGCUAAUACCGCAUAUGCCUUAGAAUCACAUGGUUCAAAAGGGAAAGGAGCAAUCCGCUGAUAGAUGGGCUUGCGUCUGAUUAGCUAGUUGGUGGGGUAAUGGCCUACCAAGGCAACGAUCAGUAGCCGAACUGAGAGGUUGAACGGCCACAUUGGGACUGAGAUACGGCCCAGACUCCUACGGGAGGCAGCAGUCGGGAAUAUUGCGCAAUGGAGGAAACUCUGACGCAGUGACGCCGCGUGCAGGAAGAAGGUUUUCGGAUUGUAAACUGCUUUAGACAGGGAAGAACAAAGACAGUACCUGUAGAAUAAGCUCCGGCUAACUACGUGCCAGCAGCCGCGGUAAUACGUAGGGAGCGAGCGUUAUCCGGAUUUAUUGGGUGUAAAGGGUGCGUAGACGGGAAGUCAAGUUAGUUGUGAAAUCCCUCGGCUUAACUGAGGAACUGCAACUAAAACUGAUUUUCUUGAGUACUGGAGAGGAAAGUGGAAUUCCUAGUGUAGCGGUGAAAUGC
Molecule: ribosomal RNA, 569 nt
Filed under: uncultured bacterium
Lineage: Bacteria
Description: bacterial SSU rRNA
Rfam family: Bacterial small subunit ribosomal RNA
Source: RNAcentral